CUGAGCGGCGGACGGGUGAGUAACGCGUGGGUAACCUACCUCAUACAGGGGGAUAACAGUUGGAAACGGCUGCUAAUACCGCAUAAGCGCACAGUACCGCAUGGUACCGUGUGAAAAACUCCGGUGGUAUGAGAUGGACCCGCGUCUGAUUAGCUAGUUGGUGGGGUAACGGCCUACCAAGGCGACGAUCAGUAGCCGACCUGAGAGGGUGACCGGCCACAUUGGGACUGAGACACGGCCCAA
This 243-nucleotide ribosomal RNA is filed under the name uncultured bacterium. RNAcentral's name for it is "partial 16S ribosomal RNA". It matches the Rfam family "Bacterial small subunit ribosomal RNA", at positions 91 to 334 of the family's 1533-position model. The record is from RNAcentral.